UACGGAGGGUGCAAGCGUUAUCCGGAAUCACUGGGUUUAAAGGGUGCGUAGGUGGGCAGGUAAGUCAGUGGUGAAAUCCCCGUGCUUAACUUGGUAACUGCCGUUGAUACUAUCUGACUUGAAUACUGUGGAGGUAAGCGGAAUUUGUCAUGUAGCGGUGAAAUGCUUAGAAAUGAGAUAGAACACCAAUUGCGAAGGCGCCUUGCUACACAGUAAUUGACACUGAGGAACGAAAGCGUGUGGAGCAAACAGG
Molecule: ribosomal RNA, 253 nt
Filed under: uncultured bacterium
Lineage: Bacteria
Description: partial 16S ribosomal RNA
Rfam family: Bacterial small subunit ribosomal RNA
Source: RNAcentral